Molecule: non-coding RNA, 115 nt
Organism: Triticum aestivum (bread wheat)
Lineage: Eukaryota; Viridiplantae; Streptophyta; Magnoliopsida; Poales; Poaceae
Source: Rfam
UACGUACUUCCUCCGUUCCGAAUUACUUGUCGCGGGUAUGGAUUUAUCUAGAUGUAUUUUAGUUCUAGAUACAUCCAUUUCUGUGACGAGUAAUUUGGAACGGAGGGAGUACUAU